RNAcentral lists this ribosomal RNA (178 nucleotides) under uncultured bacterium. RNAcentral describes it as "partial 16S ribosomal RNA". It matches the Rfam family "Bacterial small subunit ribosomal RNA", at positions 1314 to 1500 of the family's 1533-position model. The record is from RNAcentral.
GACUCCGUGAAGCUGGAUUCGCUGUAAUCGCGCAUCAGCCAUGGCGCGGUGAAUACGUUCCCGGGCCUUGUACACACCGCCCGUCAAGCCAUGGGAGCCGGGGGUGCUUGAAGUGCGUCGCCGCAAGGCGCGCCCUAGAGCAAAACCGGUGACUGGGGCUAAGUCGUAACAAGGUACC